GACGAACGCUGGCGGCGUGCUUAACACAUGCAAGUCGAACGGAAAGGCCCUGCUCUUGUGGGGUGCUCGAGUGGCGAACGGGUGAGUAACACGUGAGUAACCUGCCCUUGUCUUUGGGAUAACUUCAGGAAACUGGGGCUAAUACCGGAUAGGAGCUCCUGCUGCAUGGUGGUGGUUGGAAAGUUUCGGCGGUUGGGGAUGGACUCGCGGCUUAUGAGCUUGUUGGUGGGGUAGUGGCUUACCAAGGCUUUGACGGGUAGCCGGCCUGAGAGGGUGACCGGCGACAUUGGGACUGCGAUACGGCCCAGACUGCUACGGGAGGCAGCAGUGGGGAAUAUUGCAGAAUGGGCGGAAGCCUGAGGCAGCAACGCCGCGUGCGUGAUGACGGCCUACGGGUUGUAAACCGCUUUCGCCUGUGACGAAGCGUGAGUGACGGUAAUGGGUAAAGAAGCACCGGCUAACUACGUG
RNAcentral lists this ribosomal RNA (468 nucleotides) under uncultured bacterium. RNAcentral describes it as "partial 16S ribosomal RNA". It matches the Rfam family "Bacterial small subunit ribosomal RNA", at positions 28 to 507 of the family's 1533-position model. The record is from RNAcentral.